This 601-nucleotide ribosomal RNA is filed under the name uncultured bacterium. Its description in RNAcentral is "bacterial SSU rRNA". It matches the Rfam family "Bacterial small subunit ribosomal RNA", at positions 729 to 1332 of the family's 1533-position model. The record is from RNAcentral.
CAAGGCCUUUACUGACGCUAAAGCUCGAAAGGUGCGGGUAUCGAACAGGAUUAGAUACCCUGGUAGUCCGCACGGUAAACGUUGGAUGCCCGCUGUUUGCGAUAUACUGUGAGCGGCCAAAGAGAAAUCGUUAAGCAUCCCACCUGGGGAGUACGCCGGCAACGGUGAAACUCAAAAGGAAUUGACGGGGGCCCGCACAAGCGGAGGAACAUGUGGUUUAAUUCGAUGAUACGCGAGGAACCUUACCCGGGCUUGAACUGCAGCGGAAGGAAACAGAGAUGUUGACGUCCUUCGGGACCGCUGUGGAGGUGCUGCAUGGUUGUCGUCAGCUCGUGCCGUGAGGUGUCGGCUUAAGUGCCAUAACGAGCGCAACCCCUUUCAUUAGUUGCCAUCACUUCGGGUGGGCACUCUGGUGAUACUGCCACCGUAAGGUGUGAGGAAGGUGGGGAUGACGUCAAAUCAGCACGGCCCUUACGUCCGGGGCUACACACGUGUUACAAUGGGUGAUACAGAUGGCCGGUGCAUGGCAAUGUGCAUCAAAUCUUAAAAGUCAUCCUCAGUUCGGAUUGGGGUCUGCAACCCGACCCCAUGAAGCUGGAUU